GGUAAAAGAUUUAUUGUCUGAAGAUGAGCUCGCGUCAGAUUAGCUAGUUGGAGUGGUAACGGCACACCAAGGCGACGAUCUGUAUUUGGUCUGAGAGGAUGACCAGACACACUGGGACUGAGACACGGCCCAGACUCCUACGGGAGGCAGCAGUGGGGAAUUUUCCGCAAUGGGCGAAAGCCUGACGGAGCAAUACCGCGUGCGGGAGGAAGCUUUUUGGAGUGUAAACCGCUUUUCUCUGGGAAGAUAAUGACGGUACCAGAGGAAUCAGCAUCGGCUAACUUCGUGCCAGCAGCCGCGGUAAUACGAGGGAUGCAAGCGUUAUCCGGAAUUAUUGGGCGUAAAGCGUUCGUAGGUGGCUAGAUAAGUCUGUCGUCAAAGCAUGGAGCUUAACUCCAUUAAGGCGAUGGAAACUGUUUGGCUAGAGUGUGGUAGGGGUAACAGGAAUUCCCAGUGUAGCGGUGAAAUGCGUAGAUAUUGGGAAGAACACCAGCGG
Molecule: ribosomal RNA, 496 nt
Filed under: Komvophoron sp. ORO36S1
Lineage: Bacteria; Bacillati; Cyanobacteriota; Cyanophyceae; Gomontiellales; Gomontiellaceae
Description: bacterial SSU rRNA
Rfam family: Bacterial small subunit ribosomal RNA
Source: RNAcentral